UUGAAGAAUAUGUCUGGUUGAUCCAGUACACUUAAUUCUGAGAAAGUCCACAGAUUGGACCAGGUCAUGGAUUUUAGCUGGAUUCAUUGACUGGGCUAUAUUUGUCAUA
This is a microRNA precursor of Cercocebus atys (sooty mangabey), 109 nucleotides long. NCBI's taxonomy places the organism in Eukaryota, Metazoa, Chordata, Mammalia, Primates, Cercopithecidae. The record is from Ensembl.